ACUGAUUGAACGUGCUUGCACGGACUUGACGUUGGUUUACCAGCGAGUGGCGGACGGGUGAGUAACACGUAGGUAACCUGCCCCAAAGCGGGGGAUAACAUUUGGAAACAGAUGCUAAUACCGCAUAACAAUUUGAAUCGCAUGAUUCAAAUUUAAAAGAUGGCUUCGGCUAUCACUUUGGGAUGGACCUGCGGCGCAUUAGCUUGUUGGUAGGGUAACGGCCUACCAAGGCUGUGAUGCGUAGCCGAGUUGAGAGACUGAUCGGCCACAAUGGAACUGAGACACGGUCCAUACUCCUACGGGAGGCAGCAGUAGGGAAUCUUCCACAAUGGGCGCAAGCCUGAUGGAGCAACACCGCGUGAGUGAAGAAGGGUUUCGGCUCGUAAAGCUCUGUUGUUAGAGAAGAACGUGCGUGAGAGCAACUGUUCACGCAGUGACGGUAUCUAACCAGAAAGUCACGGCUAACUACGUGCCAGCAGCCGCGGUAAUACGUAGGUGGCAAGCGUUAUCCGGAUUUAUUGGGCGUAAAGCGAGCGCAGGCGGUUUGAUAAGUCUGAUGUGAAAGCCUUUGGCUUAACCAAAGAAGUGCAUCGGAAACUGUCAGACUUGAGUGCAGAAGAGGACAGUGGAACUCCAUGGGUUAUAACCGGG
RNAcentral lists this ribosomal RNA (651 nucleotides) under Limosilactobacillus mucosae. Its description in RNAcentral is "bacterial SSU rRNA". It matches the Rfam family "Bacterial small subunit ribosomal RNA", at positions 46 to 686 of the family's 1533-position model. The record is from RNAcentral. Lineage: Bacteria; Bacillati; Bacillota; Bacilli; Lactobacillales; Lactobacillaceae.